Molecule: transfer RNA, 63 nt
Filed under: Heterocephalus glaber (naked mole-rat)
Lineage: Eukaryota; Metazoa; Chordata; Mammalia; Rodentia; Bathyergidae
Rfam family: tRNA
About the family: Transfer RNA (tRNA) molecules are approximately 80 nucleotides in length. Their secondary structure includes four short double-helical elements and three loops (D, anti-codon, and T loops).
Source: Rfam by way of RNAcentral
GUGUGGCUCAGUGAUAGAGCAUGUGCUUAGCAUGUACAAGGCUCUGGGUUCAAUUCUCAGCAC